Molecule: ribosomal RNA, 253 nt
Filed under: uncultured bacterium
Lineage: Bacteria
Description: partial 16S ribosomal RNA
Rfam family: Bacterial small subunit ribosomal RNA
Source: RNAcentral
UACGUAGGAUGCAAGCGUUGUCCGGAAUUAUUGGGCGUAAAGAGCUCGUAGGCGGUUUGUCGCGUCUGCUGUGAAAACUCGGGGCUUAACCCCGGGCCUGCAGUGGGUACGGGCAGACUAGAGUGCGGUAGGGGAGACUGGAAUUCCUGGUGUAGCGGUGAAAUGCGCAGAUAUCAGGAGGAACACCGGUGGCGAAGGCGGGUCUCUGGGCCGUAACUGACGCUGAGGGGCGAAAGCGUGGGGAGCGAACAGG